CCAACCACCACAUAUGUAACAUCCAAACACUUCUACUCCAUAAUUUACAUCAAUACCAAUAUGACGCAGGGUUUUAUGGUAACAUGGCGCCCUGAACCUGUAUAAAAUCCCUUGUGUCCUUGCUUCCUUGUGUGCCUUUGCGUGUGGAUUGACAAGGCAUUUUAGCCCCUGGUCGAGCUCACAAAUAUAGGAUAUCCUUGACCCCUGGUGCCUGAAGAACACACUCCGACACAAACCCAUAGUGACAUAUGAGCACACAAAGUCUCCUAGACAAUGCCUUCAAGAAAAUAACAGCCACUCAUACACCAAUGUUGGUUGGUCUAACCACAUGCCACUCACUCAACCAGAUGGUUGAGUAGAUGCUGCCUCUCAUAAUCACACACCAAUAUGAAUCAUUUUUAUUGUCCAUUUGAUUUUCCACCAAAAGAGACACAUCAGGGAGUCAGUUCAUUUAGCUUUUUGGGUAGAAUUUUGGUUAAUUCAUUUCAGUAGUGCGACAAUUUCACGUUUUUGCUCUUGUUUGCCUUUAUGUUCAUAAUCCGGCAAAUUCAGAUCCACGCCGUAUGGCAUUUUUGUUCAUGUUGAACGACAAUUUUCUGGUCAUGUUAAAUGGCAAUUUAAGAUCUAACGAGAUGGCAAAAUUUAUCUUCUCCUGUUUGAAUUGUAGAUUUAGGUUUACACGAUGUCAAAUUAGGUGUUUGGCAUACCCUCGGGUGGAUGGCUUUGUAGGGAUAGCAUAGGGAUAGGCAUGCUCUAUAUAGCAAAUUUUUUUCAAAUUUGACAUGUGGCAUGUAGAACUGUUUUGCCACAUAUGUUCCGAUUUCCUACUUUUUGCCAUGACCUAUGUAGACAUUUCCAUAUGACUUGCCAAGCAAGUACUACACCCCCACCCUCCCUAUAUUUGCCUUUUUUAAAGAUGAAAAAUGAUAUGCAUGGUCGCUAUGGUGUGUAUAUAGUUACAUAUUGUCAAAAAAAUAUUUUGCCAUUAUAAAUUGUUGUCGUUAAAAAACUGAAAUACACC
This 1021-nucleotide long non-coding RNA is filed under the name Hordeum vulgare. RNAcentral's name for it is "long non-coding RNA (HVUL_LNC005809)". The record is from RNAcentral. Lineage: Eukaryota; Viridiplantae; Streptophyta; Magnoliopsida; Poales; Poaceae.